UGUUCCUGCUCCAGAAGGGACAGGUGUGCUUUCCCCUCUGGCCACAUGCAAAGCCCUCCCUGCCUCCAUAUCAAGUGGUCAUCUACCUGUCCAGCGACUCCUUCAUAUCCUGCAAAAACAGGGAGGGAGAUCCAUGAUGCCUUGUUAGGAAUGUGGGGCAUCCCCAAGCACCAUGUGUGGACAUUUCUGGCUUGCAGAGCAAGAAUGUGUAAUGCUUUCCCAUGACCUCUCCCAGUUUCCUGAGUGGAUCCCUAUCUUUUGGCUGCCCAGGCUUCCUGCUGCUCCCCUGCAUGGGAGCAUGGACAUGGAAACUGUCCUGCUUUCAAUGGCAGGGAAGGCAUAGGAGACCCAAGGUUGCUCUCACGUUGUAGGCCUGUAUUCAAGAGUGUAUAGGGGUGGUGAACAAGCUGCUUUUUACUAGAAGACCAAGUAUUCCCCAAAGUUGGGGCAAGCGCAUAGUCUGUUAACUAAACCAGGACACUUACUGGGGACAAAACCCAAGAUGCCAGGACAACAGGCAUGAAAUGGGCUGACCUUGCACAUGGCAUCUGCUUCAGUUGUAUAAAUACACUGAGUGUGUGAUGGCUCACAAUGUGAGAUAUUUUUUUUUUUUUGCUAUGGGUCCUGUCAUUCCACACAGUUGAUGAGCCAGUUACUCACCUGCUGGGCAACAUAAUCACUCCCACUUCUCAGGCCUCAAAAUGCAGGCCCAUCCCCAGCACCUUCUCCCCCAUUCCAAAUCCUCUCAGAUGGAUUCACAUGACUUGCUCCUGCCUUGAAUUUACCAGGCCUGAGAUGGCUGGUGUGUCCCUGCCUCACAUCACCAUGUGAAUGACAGCUGCCCCUGGGCUACAGCCCCUGGACUAGGAAUGAAAUGCAGAACACAGGUGUCGGAAACCUGUCAGGCUGAUUGUGUCCCCCAUAUCCAUGUGUUGGAACCCAGCCCCCAGGACCUCAGAUGAGGCUGUAUGUGGAGAUGGGGCCUUGCAGAGGUGAUGAAGGUGAAAUGAGGUCCCUAGGGAGGGCCGUAAUCCAGUGUGACUUGGUGUCCUUAGAAGAUCGAGACAGAUGCAGAGGGAUGACCAUAUGAGGACACAGGUAGGAGAUGGUUAUCCAGACACCAAGGAGAGGUGCCUCAGGAAGCAGUUUUGUCCCCACCUGGAUCCCUCCUUUCAGCCCCCAGGACUGUGAGAAAUAAAUGUCCUUUUAAGCCCCCAGCCUGUGGUAUCUGUUAUGCAGCUCUGAGCUGACAGAGAUGGAGCCUUCCCUGUUGAUGUCUAUUUGCGCCAGCAGGCCAACCACACCCAGCCAGAGCCUGUGCCCCCUCCACCCUGAAGUCAGGGCCUGCAGGAGGUGCUGCUCCUCCUCCACCAGAAGGACAGCCAUCUUCUUAAACUCCAUCAUGACUCGCUGUCUCCGCUCCUGCACCUUCUCCUGCAGGGCAGGGGCUGGAGGUGCUCCAUGUCAUCCUCCAGCUUCAGCUGCGAACAACAGACCAGGGGAUGGGGGUCGGAGGCCCCUGUACACCCACAUCGGGAGGUGCUCUCUGAAGCUGCACCCUAAGGGGGAUGGAAAUAUACCACCCCAAAAUAUGCCCCUUGGGCAGGAGAAUUGUUUUGAGCUGGAGGCAAAUGAGAAUCUACAGAUGCAGAAAUGCCUUCUGUGGCUCCCAAUAUGUGACUAAAAGAAACUGCUAAGAACUGAGGGCUGCCAUGAAUUUGCCUCCCAGGGAAGUUUUAUGGCCAUGAAGGGGGUAAAAAGUGGGUACCAAGAGGGACCUACACUGAUGAACCUUAUCUUUCAUUAGUUUCCCUAAAAUAUUUACAUUCUGUCAAUGAUCUGAAUGUUCAUGUUCCCUCAAAUUAACAGGUUACAUCCUAAUACCCAAGGCAUCGGAGGUGGGGCCUUUGGGAGGUGAUGAUGGCACCAGUGGGGAGCCCUCAGGAAUGGGUGGGGUCAGUGCCCUACUGAGACCUUAGAGCUCCCAGCCCCUUGCUCCCUGUGAGGACAAUGAGAAAUCCGCUGUCUGUGAACCAGGAAGGGGCCGCACCUGACCCUGCUGGUGCCAUGUUCUUAGACUUCCAGCCCCCCAAACCAUGAGCUCUCUGAAAUUCUUGCUGUUUAUAAGCCACCAGGUCUUGAGUUCUGUGACAGCAGCUGGAAUGAACCAAGACACCUUUCCCAGUUUGCUCCCCUUGGGAUCCUGUUACCUUUCCCUUUGUCUCUUCUCUCCAAAUGUGUUGUUCCUUGUUCAGAUGCUAGACAACCCAGGUUCUAAAACUACCUGUUACUGGUUGCUGUGGUUUCUUCCCUGUGAAGUACAUGGACUACACAUGUUAACAGUUCGCCUUUCUUCCCUUGAUAUGUCUUUUGUAGUCUAAUUUAGGAUGGAAGGAAAAGACUUUUUCUUCCCCUACAGAAGGUCACCUGGCUUGCCCAUACAGACAGGUUCGAGGCCACUUUGUCAGCCUGGGUUCCUGAAUAACUGGAGAGGAUGCCUACCUGGCCAGCCACCUGCCUACUUUGUUGUGGGGGGUGCAGACACUUCCACCAUGGGGGCCAGCAUAUGGGGCUAUUUGUUAUAAGGUUCAUUCUCCUGCCUGACUGACACUGCUUGACACAUGUGCCCUUGGGCCUCAUUGGCCCCUGCAGCCCCUCAUCCCUGGGCCCACC
This is a long non-coding RNA of Phyllostomus discolor (pale spear-nosed bat), 2673 nucleotides long. RefSeq lists it as uncharacterized. NCBI's taxonomy places the organism in Eukaryota, Metazoa, Chordata, Mammalia, Chiroptera, Phyllostomidae. The transcript is spliced from 3 exons. The record is from RefSeq and is a predicted model, not a curated record.